Microcebus murinus (gray mouse lemur) is the source of this 1575-nucleotide non-coding RNA. NCBI's taxonomy places the organism in Eukaryota, Metazoa, Chordata, Mammalia, Primates, Cheirogaleidae. The record is from RefSeq and is a predicted model, not a curated record.
CCGGGGGCGCCCGGGGCCGCCGCCCGCCUGCUGCCUCCGCCGCCGGCAGCCUCCUCCGUUCUUCUCGCAACUACCUGUCUGAGCCGCGGGCCGGGCAGGGCCUGGGGGAAGGCCCGCCUCGCCGGGAGGGUCUCCCCAUCCGCGCCCCAGGGGCGCCCCGGGGGAGCGAGGGCCCGGUGCCCCCGCGUCCUCCCUCCCUGCCCUCUUCUCGCGUCUCCUUUGUGGCUCUACUCUUCGACACGACGCUGCUAGGCUGUUCCCCCUCCCCCGGGGAGUUUGCGGUGUGGACGCCCGGCGAGCACAGGAUGGAUUUGCAUUUGGCUGCAUAGCACGUUCCAACCACCAGUGAGUCACACAAACAGCUUGCACGUGGUUUGUAAAGGACAGCACUGAUGGUCCCCAGGCUUGGAAUGGACACUUCUGCAGACUUCAUCACACUCACCAUCAUUGCUCAAGAUCCCUUCCUUGCAAAGAUAUCAGAGUAGCUUUAAAAAGGACCACCGCUUAUGUGGAAAAUGAGGACCAUGUGUUUGUUGGAGUUUGAAAUGAGUCAUCAUUAUCUAUCAACAUUGAAAAUUAUGGUCAGUCUCAACAUGUGUGGAACACACACACAGAACGUAUUGAAGAUUCUUAUUAAAGAUUUCCGAAGGGUGGACACCAGGAGACAAAGCAAAAUGGACAACUGCCUCAUCGUGGUAUUUAAGUGAAGGCAGAACAUGGACAUACAGGUGCAUCUCCCAACAUUGCUUUCACUCUUCAUGCACAUCAGACCACCUUUCUCGUGUCAUCUGGCUGGUCAUCCCCCUGCCCAGGCCUUUUGCCAGCUGUUGAUUUGACCAGGAAAUAGUCCUUCUGCACGUGACUGUCCCCUCUCCUCCUUGAAGGUGCGGUUCAUGUUUCAUUCCCCCUGGAAGUAUUUUCUGUUCUUCUUACCUGCAGCUGAUAUCUCAGUGCUCACCCGUUCCGCUGAAGGUUUGGUCCAGUGAUCUGUUUUUCUGGGGCAAGAGAUAGAUGUCAAGGCUCGAUCUCCCAGCCUAGCCCUGAGUCCAGAGCAGCGUCACCACUGAAUCGACAAGUGCGCCAAGAAAUGGGCUGGAAGCUGAGGGAAAUGCUGUACUUUUCUCUUUCCCAUCUGCAGAUGGUUUUCCUGGGUUGGGAAACGACUUAGGAAACACAGAGCCUUUAGCCACUAAGUCUGGGGGAGACCCGUAGAACCCAGGGCAGCCAGCACUGGGUGUAACUGUAGCUGCUGUGACUGGAUAUCCUAGUGGUCUACACCGGCUAGAGCCAGACCAGUUCGCAAAGACAAUCUUUUCUGACAUUUUUAGGCAGCAUGAUAAAUCCUCACUAAACAGACCCUUUCAGUAAUUAUGGAGCAGACAUGGGCUCUUCCUUGCUUCUCCCUCUGCAUGCGACAAGGAGGACGCCAGGCCCAGCCCCUCAGGCCGCCGUGGGCACGUGGGCGCAGGACCGGCCUAAGUCUCCACUGCAGACCAAGGGGCGCCACCGACAGACACACGUGCAUGGAAACGAAACCCAGAGCGUUUCCGGGCGCAGGGCCUGCGGGCUCCGGCU